Molecule: ribosomal RNA, 253 nt
Filed under: uncultured bacterium
Lineage: Bacteria
Description: partial 16S ribosomal RNA
Rfam family: Bacterial small subunit ribosomal RNA
Source: RNAcentral
UACAGAGGGGGCAAGCGUUGUUCGGAAUUACUGGGCGUAAAGGGCGCGUAGGCGGCCUUCUAAGUCGAGUGUGAAAUCCCUGGGCUCAACCCAGGAACUGCGUCCGAUACUGGAAGGCUUGAAUCCGGGAGAGGGAUGCGGAAUUCCAGGUGUAGCGGUGAAAUGCGUAGAUAUCUGGAGGAACACCGGUGGCGAAGGCGGCAUCCUGGACCGGUAUUGACGCUGAGGCGCGAAAGCCAGGGGAGCAAACGGG